This 45-nucleotide non-coding RNA is filed under the name Schistosoma haematobium. Lineage: Eukaryota; Metazoa; Platyhelminthes; Trematoda; Strigeidida; Schistosomatidae. The record is from RNAcentral.
AUCCAGCUGACGAGUCUCAAAUAGGACGAAACGCGAUUCCUACAU